Molecule: ribosomal RNA, 250 nt
Filed under: Klebsiella pneumoniae
Lineage: Bacteria; Pseudomonadati; Pseudomonadota; Gammaproteobacteria; Enterobacterales; Enterobacteriaceae
Description: partial 16S ribosomal RNA
Rfam family: Bacterial small subunit ribosomal RNA
Source: RNAcentral
UGAUGGAGGGGGAUAACUACUGGAAACGGUAGCUAAUACCGCAUAAUGUCGCAAGACCAAAGUGGGGGACCUUCGGGCCUCAUGCCAUCAGAUGUGCCCAGAUGGGAUUAGCUAGUAGGUGGGGUAAUGGCUCACCUAGGCGACGAUCCCUAGCUGGUCUGAGAGGAUGACCAGCCACACUGGAACUGAGACACGGUCCAGACUCCUACGGGAGGCAGCAGUGGGGAAUAUUGCACAAUGGGCGCAAGCC